GAGGUCCCGCCUGCCCUGUGACUAUAUGUUUAACGGCCGCGGUAUUUUGACCGUGCAAAGGUAGCGCAAUCACUUGUCUUUUAAAUGAAGACCCGUAUGAAUGGCAUCACGAGGGCUUAACUGUCUCCUUUUUCCCGUCAAUGAAAUUGAUUUCCCCGUGCAGAAGCGGGGAUGCCCCCAUAAGACGAGAAGACCCUAUGGAGCUUUAGGCUCCAGAGCAGACUAUGUCAAAAACCCUUACGACAAAAGACAAAACUUAUUAGUCCCUGCUUUACAUGCCUUUGGUUGGGGCGACCGCGGGGAAACAAAAAACCCCCACGUGGACCAGGAGCACCACCUCCUAAAACCUAGGAUCACCUUCCUAAGUAGCAGAACUUCUGACCAACACAAGAUCCGGCACCAGGCCGAUCAACGAACCCAGUUACCCUAGGGAUAACAGCGCAAUCCCCUUCUAGAGUCCAUAUCGACAAGGGGGUUUACGACCUCGAUGUUGGAUCAGGACAUCCUAUUGGUGUAGCCGCUAUUAAGGGUUCGUUUGUUCAACGAUU
Molecule: ribosomal RNA, 548 nt
Filed under: Gymnogeophagus setequedas
Lineage: Eukaryota; Metazoa; Chordata; Actinopteri; Cichliformes; Cichlidae
Description: partial 16S ribosomal RNA
Rfam family: Bacterial large subunit ribosomal RNA
Source: RNAcentral